Molecule: small nuclear RNA, 304 nt
Filed under: Castor canadensis (American beaver)
Lineage: Eukaryota; Metazoa; Chordata; Mammalia; Rodentia; Castoridae
Description: 7SK RNA (ENSCCNG00000005393.1)
Rfam family: 7SK RNA
About the family: 7SK was discovered as an abundant small nuclear RNA in the mid-70s but a possible function has only recently been suggested. Two independent studies have found that 7SK RNA binds the CDK9/cyclin T complex (known as elongation factor P-TEFb).
Source: RNAcentral
GGAUGUGAGGGCGACCUGGUUGCAACAUCUGUCAACUCACUGAUGCCAGGGUUGAUUCUGCUGAUCUGGCUGGCUAGGCAGGUGUCCGCUUCCUCCCUCACAGCUCUAUGUGCAUCCCUCCUGAAGCUGCAUGCUUGGUAGAAGAGGACGACCAUCCCAGAUAGAGGAGGACCGUUCUUCAGUCAAGGGUAUAUAAGUAGCUGUAAUCCCCUCCUGGAAACUCCAAACAAGCUCUCAAACUGAAGAAAUGAUAUCACCACUGCACUGUGAUGUGUGUAUAUGAUGUAGUACAUAAUGUAGCCAC